This 432-nucleotide ribosomal RNA is filed under the name uncultured bacterium. RNAcentral's name for it is "partial 16S ribosomal RNA". It matches the Rfam family "Bacterial small subunit ribosomal RNA", at positions 29 to 507 of the family's 1533-position model. The record is from RNAcentral.
AACGAACGCUGGCGGCAUGCCUAACACAUGCAAGUCGAACGAGACCUUCGGGUCUAGUGGCGCACGGGUGCGUAACGCGUGGGAACCUGCACUUAGGUUCGGAAUAACUCCCCGAAUGGGGUGCUAAUACCGGAUAAUGUCUUCGGACCAAAGAUUUAUCGCCUUUGGUUGGGCCCGCGUUGGAUUAGCUAGUUGGAAGGGUAAAAGCCUACCAAGGCGACGAUCCAUAGCUGGUCUGAGAGGAUGAUCAGCCACACUGGACUGAGACACGGCCCAGACUCCUACGGGAGGCAGCAGUGGGGAAUAUUGGACAAUGGGCGAAAGCCUGAUCCAGCAAUGCCGCGUGAGUGAUGAAGGCCUUAGGGUUGUAAAGCUCUUUUACCCGGGAUGAUAAUGACAGUACCGGGAGAAUAAGCUCCGGCUAACUCCGUG